Molecule: non-coding RNA, 29 nt
Filed under: Macaca fascicularis (crab-eating macaque)
Lineage: Eukaryota; Metazoa; Chordata; Mammalia; Primates; Cercopithecidae
Also listed under: 1 other name
Source: RNAcentral
UGCAUAACACUUUGUCUGUGUUUCAGAUG